GAUGAACGCUGGCGGCGUGCCUAAUACAUGCAAGUCGAGCGAACAGACGAGGAGCUUGCUCCUCUGACGUUAGCGGCGGACGGGUGAGUAACACGUGGAUAACCUACCUAUAAGACUGGGAUAACUUCGGGAAACCGGAGCUAAUACCGGAUAAUAUAUUGAACCGCAUGGUUCAAUAGUGAAAGACGGUUUUGCUGUCACUUAUAGAUGGAUCCGCGCCGCAUUAGCUAGUUGGUAAGGUAACGGCUUACCAAGGCAACGAUGCGUAGCCGACCUGAGAGGGUGAUCGGCCACACUGGAACUGAGACGCGGUCCAGACUCCUACGGGAGGCAGCAGAAGGGAAUCUUCCGCAAUGGGCGAAAGCUUGACGGAGCAACGCCGCGUGAGUGAUGAAGGUCUUCGGAUCGUAAAACUCUGUUAUUAGGGAAGAACAAAUGUGUAAGUAACUAUGCACGUCUUGACGGUACCUAAUCAGAAAGCCACGGCUAACUACGUG
RNAcentral lists this ribosomal RNA (497 nucleotides) under uncultured bacterium. Its description in RNAcentral is "partial 16S ribosomal RNA". It matches the Rfam family "Bacterial small subunit ribosomal RNA", at positions 28 to 507 of the family's 1533-position model. The record is from RNAcentral.